This 547-nucleotide ribosomal RNA is filed under the name Ectophoma multirostrata. Its description in RNAcentral is "eukaryotic LSU rRNA". The stretch from base 186 to 339 matches the Rfam family "5.8S ribosomal RNA". The record is from RNAcentral. Lineage: Eukaryota; Fungi; Ascomycota; Dothideomycetes; Pleosporales; Didymellaceae.
AAGUGUAACAAGGUUUCCGUAGGUGAACCUGCGGAAGGAUCAUUACCUAGAGUUGUAGGCUUUGCCUGCUAUCUCUUACCCAUGUCUUUUGAGUACCUUCGUUUCCUCGGCGGGUCCGCCCGCCGAUUGGACACAUUUAAACCCUUUGUAGUUGCAAUCAGCGUCUGAAAAACUUUAAUAGUUACAACUUUCAACAACGGAUCUCUUGGUUCUGGCAUCGAUGAAGAACGCAGCGAAAUGCGAUAAGUAGUGUGAAUUGCAGAAUUCAGUGAAUCAUCGAAUCUUUGAACGCACAUUGCGCCCCUUGGUAUUCCAUGGGGCAUGCCUGUUCGAGCGUCAUUUGUACCUUCAAGCUUUGCUUGGUGUUGGGUGUUUGUCUCGCCUCUGCGCGCAGACUCGCCUCAAAACAAUUGGCAGCCGGCGUAUUGAUUUCGGAGCGCAGUACAUCUCGCGCUUUGCACUCAUAACGACGACGUCCAAAAAGUACAUUUUUUACACUCUUGACCUCGGAUCAGGUAGGGAUACCCCGCAGCCUCUCCUGCGCAGU